UACGUAGGGGGCGAGCGUUGUCCGGAUUUACUGGGCGUACAGGGAGCGUAGGCGGUUGGAUAAGCCCUCCGUGAAAUCUCCAGGCUUAACCUGGAAAGUGCAGAGGGGACUGUUCAGCUAGAGGAUGGGAGAGGAGCGCGGAAUUCCCGGUGUAGCGGUGAAAUGCGUAGAGAUCGGGAGGAAGGCCGGUGGCGAAGGCGGCGCUCUGGAACAUUUCUGACGCUGAGGCUCGAAAGCGUGGGGAGCAAACAGG
RNAcentral lists this ribosomal RNA (253 nucleotides) under uncultured bacterium. Its description in RNAcentral is "partial 16S ribosomal RNA". It matches the Rfam family "Bacterial small subunit ribosomal RNA", at positions 524 to 776 of the family's 1533-position model. The record is from RNAcentral.